GGACUCGUCCUUCCUUCGUUCAGAAGAAAGAAAAGGGGAGAUGAACCUCGAGCCCCACGCACCCCACGCACCUUUCUUUCCCGAGCACGCAACCUCUCCUUCCCUCUCCAGAAAAACACCAUCCUUCGACCUGGAUCGGCUCAUGUGACCGUCGGGCCUUGUCGCCACCGACGCCGACGCCUGCAAACGGCGGCAGGCUGGAUCUUGAUGGCGUGCUCGUAGCGCUGCCCACCAUCUGCGUGAUCUGGGCCGACGGGUUCAUCUCCUCCCACCUCUGUGAGAAUCUCAUGGCCGAGACCCCGCACUCCGUCCUCAUCGUCGACCACCUCGUCGACCCACCCCCGCCCCACGUCGCCGGCUGCAUCUCCUUCCGCUGCCUCAACGUCAUGAACAACUCCCGCCUGGAGGGCCUCAUCAAGACGUCCGAUCUGGUGCGCCCCUCCCCACCUCCCCUCCCUUCCCCGCUCACUCAUGUCCUUUAAGCGGAUUGGUCUGCAAAAUUUUGUUAUUGUCUCCUUUAGUGUUCUUGAGCUUGCUUCAUUUAAUUGGGUUGGGUGAAGACGUUGGUAGUACAAGGAAAGAAGUACAGCAUCAGGCUGCAGAAAUAUCUUUAAGAAAUUUGGCAAGUAAGUUUGUUUUAUUGCAUAUUUGUACUAACCUCUCCAGUUUCGUUUUCGCAGAUAUAAGAUAAUAUGUUAUGUAAUCAAGAGAUUCAUUUUAAAUUUGGAUUGUUCACAUGUUUACUCGAAGCAUAUAUGCUCUAUUGUGUGGAGUUGAUUUUUCCCUUUUUAGCACCAUCUAUCUUGGAAUUAGAUUGGAUACUGUGAGAAUAUAAUCAUGACUAUUUCUUGAUGGGUACUUGCUGCAUGAUUUUUCCACUGCAUGUCCAAGUUUACAUGUGAAAGGAUCUUGCUUGAUUCCAUUCUACUGGUUCAUCUGAAUUACCGAAUACAGAUGCAGGUCUCCUGUAUCUUCACUAAUUUCCUCUGUAGGUUCCUGUUUAGGGAGAAAAGAAAAUCCUGUUAUCCUCGUCCAGGGAUAGACCAUUUGGCACCAAUGAAUCAGCUGUUGAGUACAAAUAAUGUGGGAAGUUCUUCUUUGGCAAUCACGAUGUGUUCGUACAUAUGGUUGAAAGGAUCGCGUUGAUAGUGUUGCUACUUGCUACCAAUGCUUUUGUUGAGGUAACAACUGUCAAUUAAAUACAACUUGAUUUCGGUGUCGGUGUAGUUUGAGUUUAAUUUUACAUAGGGAAGUGAGAAGCUAAUGUUCUGCCGGUUUACAGAAAGUUGUCCUUGUUGAUCUGCUUUCGUUUGGGAAGAUCAUCCUUUCUAUGAUUUGUGAUGUCUUCCCAUAUUAUAUUCUACUGCUUCAUUCCUUAAUUUUGUACCCGAACGUCUCUGUAUCGUCAGGAUUUAGCUGAUGAUGAAUAGUAGUACAGCGCAUAUCUGUUCAGUUAAUUUGCAGUCCUGAACUGCUGAUUGAUUCUUAAAUCUGUUCAUGAGGGAUGACAUUUGGUGCAUUAAAAAUGCAGUAUGUUGCCAUUUGAGUAGUAUUCAAUCUGUUGUGCUUGUACUAAGCUGUGGCUAUGUCCUAUGUGCCUUCCAUGUCACAGCUUACUGCUUGCGCAGAAGCACAGGUUGCUUUAGCCAAGCACCAAUUAACAGAGAUGAAAUAGGUUGCUUUAGCCAAGCACCAAUGAACUUCACUGACUCAAGUAGAUUAAGUCCAAUACCAUUAUUUCGUUUGUGUUAUCCGUAUAUUUUAAGAAGUGAACUGGUUUACUAAAGUUCAAUCUGUGCACUUGUUUGUACUUGGUAGAAUUACUGCUUUCUAUCAUGAGCUCACAAGGAAGCCUGAUUUUUGUGGGUGAUCGAAUAGCACCAACUAAAAUCCUCAGGAAGUACAAGUAUGCUAUGAAGAUCUAUUGCCAGUUAUGCGUAUCUGAAUUUUUUGUUCUAUUUUCUGUAAUAUUAAUAUUACAAGCAAGAAUAGUUAUAGGCUAUCAAGAAUCUGAACUUUAUCUCAUUUAUUGAAUACAGAUGCCGAUCUCCUCCAUUUGUGUCUGUUGUUUUGAUUUAGUAUUCUACUGCCUCAUUCGUUAAUUUAUGCCCGAAUGUCUCUGUAUCUUCAGGAUUUAGCUGGUGAUGAAUACACCGUAUAUCUGUUCAGUUAAUUUGCAGCCCUGACAAACUGCUGAUUGAUUCAAUGCAAGAGAUGACAUUUGGUGUUAUGACAGAUUCGGUGCAUGGAUUUGUUGUUCUUGCAGGAGGCUGCAGACCUGUUGUGUUUGCUGCUGGGUCCUGGUUGCCCUGGAGUGUUAAAUUCAGAACGUAAGUGAAUGAUCACUGUACCCCAGCCACCCGGCUUGGCACAAGAUAGGAAAAGUGGUUUGGUGUACAAGGAGACUACAACUUUUUUGUUAAGGACUGCUGGGGCCAAGUCUGGUGGAUCUGUUUAAUUUUUGUAGCAGAGCAGUUCCGCUCUCUGUUUAUUGCCCAAAUGCGGUACAUAGGGCAGGAGGGGCAGGGCGGAGGUUCGACCUCCUGCACCUUCCAUCCCAGGCCUAUCUUUGUCAUUCUCGGCGGCCGGCCGAGCUCUGCGCUCCGGAACAACCAAAACAUGCUUGAGAUCUCAGUAAAAAAAAAGGAUUUUGUUUUACUGUGUUUGCUCUAAAAAAUUGUUCUGGCCAUUUCACUGGGGAUGCAGUGGAGAUUUUUCAGAGGGAGGGGGAGAGAGGGGGGGGGGGGGGAUGUUUGCAAAACUAAGAAGAGCAGAACAGAGUUGGGCACAACUACGACAAGCAGAAGAUUGGUGAACGGGAUGAAACAGUCGAUACCAAUGAGAAUGUCGUUGGUGCUAACAAAAGGUGACACCUCCAGUAUGUCCUUGCUAUUUUUUCCGUCUAGAUCUAAUAUGUGUUCCUACAAAGAGUAAAUAGCAACAUCAGUGCUGGCUUUCCAUCUGAAUCUGAGACAUUGAAUGAGAUCCUGUCAUUGCUAAGAAAAGCUAAGGAGGUCACCACCAAGAAUACCAAGGCCGCGUCGACGGACUCAGGUGCGUGCGCUCGUUGGUGGUUUUAGUCUCAUAGCUCAUUACACCUAGCCUCUAUUUGCUCAAUCUUUCAGAAUUUCAAGUGUCAUUGCAUUGUCGAGUAUGUUCAGCGGGAAGGAAAGCAACAAGCUGCUGGGGGUCAGGAUGACAAAGAUUGGUUCAACGUCGGCUGCUUCGUUGUGCCAGUGCCACACUUAGGCUGGUACAUGCACGUACGACCAUGGCGUCGGCGCCACUUCUUCAUCUUCUCCCGAACUGGCCCAUCCUCGCCAUUUCCACCGGGAUAAGCGAGUUGGAGGAAGAUGGAGAGGUGAGCUGGUUCUACUCAUUGACAGGAAAUUAUUUGGGCAUAACUUCCUUUUCGCAACAAGAAAUGAAAAUGUUCCCAUGAGAUUGAUUGAUCGUGCCCCGCUUUUGAACCAAUGUCAUCUAUGUCAUCGGUCAUGUAACCUCUAAGGCACCUGAUAAUAUAUAUGAUGUAACUGUCUUUUCUUCUAAAGAUGACCUAUUGUGUCAA
Molecule: long non-coding RNA, 3568 nt
Organism: Triticum aestivum (bread wheat)
Lineage: Eukaryota; Viridiplantae; Streptophyta; Magnoliopsida; Poales; Poaceae
Exons: 4
Source: RefSeq, a predicted model, not a curated record